This 453-nucleotide ribosomal RNA is filed under the name uncultured Isochrysis. Its description in RNAcentral is "partial Bacterial small subunit ribosomal RNA". It matches the Rfam family "Bacterial small subunit ribosomal RNA", at positions 931 to 1407 of the family's 1533-position model. Lineage: Eukaryota; Haptophyta; Isochrysidales. The record is from RNAcentral.
GGUGGAGCAUGUGGUUUAAUUCGAAGCAACGCGCAGAACCUUACCAACCCUUGACAUCCCCGGACCGGCCUGGAGACAGGUCUUCCACUUCGGUGGCCGGGUGACAGGUGCUGCAUGGCUGUCGUCAGCUCGUGUCGUGAGAUGUUCGGUUAAGUCCGGCAACGAGCGCAACCCACGUCCCCAGUUGCCAGCAUUCAGUUGGGCACUCUGUGGAAACUGCCGGUGAUAAGCCGGAGGAAGGUGUGGAUGACGUCAAGUCCUCAUGGCCCUUACGGGUUGGGCUACACACGUGCUACAAUGGUGGUGACAGUGGGUUAAUCCCCAAAAGCCAUCUCAGUUCGGAUUGUCCUCUGCAACUCGAGGGCAUGAAGUUGGAAUCGCUAGUAAUCGCGGAACAGCACGCCGCGGUGAAUACGUUCCCGGGCCUUGUACACACCGCCCGUCACACCAUGG